GAAAGCAGGCGAGGUGAUCGCGAUCGGCGCGUCUGCCGUGCCUUCGGCGCGGUGGCGGGGCCGGUUGAGGAAAGUCCGGGCUCCCGAACGGCCAGGCCUGCUGGGUAACGCCCAGUGCGGGUGACCGUGAGGACAGUGCCACAGAAACACACCGCCGAUGGCUCCGCUGCCGCUGCGGCGUUGGUGGGGAUCAGGCAAGGGUGCAAAGGUGCGGUAAGAGCGCACCAGCGGCAUCGAGAGGUGCCGGCUCGGUAAACCCCGGCCGGGAGCAAGGCCCAGGGACAACGGUUGGCCGACUUCCCCGUCCCGACUUCCAUGUGCCGCUCGAGGCCGCCGGUAACGGCGGUCCCAGACAGAUGAUCACCCUCCGGCCCUGCCCUCGGGCGGAUCCGGAGAACAGAACCCGGCUUACGUCCUGCUUUCACCC
RNAcentral lists this RNase P RNA (427 nucleotides) under Synechococcus sp. CBW1004. Its description in RNAcentral is "RNase P RNA component class A". It matches the Rfam family "Bacterial RNase P class A". From Rfam's summary of the family: Ribonuclease P (RNase P) is a ubiquitous endoribonuclease, found in archaea, bacteria and eukarya as well as chloroplasts and mitochondria. Its best characterised activity is the generation of mature 5'-ends of tRNAs by cleaving the 5'-leader elements of precursor-tRNAs. Cellular RNase Ps are ribonucleoproteins. The record is from RNAcentral. Lineage: Bacteria; Bacillati; Cyanobacteriota; Cyanophyceae; Synechococcales; Synechococcaceae.